CGGGUGAGUAAUGCUUGGGAAUCUGACUUAUGAGGGGGAUAACUACGGGAAACUGUAGCUAAUACCGCGUAAUAUCGAAAGAUUAGAGUGUGGGACCUUCGGGCCACAUGCCAUAGGAUGAGCCCAAGUGGGAUUAGGUAGUUGGUGAGGUAAAGGCUCACCAAGCCGACGAUCUCUAGCUGGUCUGAGAGGAUGACCAGCCACACUGGGACUGAGACACGGCCCAG
This 227-nucleotide ribosomal RNA is filed under the name uncultured bacterium. RNAcentral describes it as "partial 16S ribosomal RNA". It matches the Rfam family "Bacterial small subunit ribosomal RNA", at positions 103 to 334 of the family's 1533-position model. The record is from RNAcentral.